AUCUAAGAGAUUUGGCGGUACUUGUGACUGAUUAGAGAAACUUGCUUUAAAAAAUCGAUAAACCUCGAAGAAUCUUACUUUUAUUAGUUUUUCAGUUUGUAUACCGUCAUAGAUGUAAUUUCAAAAGAAUUAAAUUAUUUAAAUAAUUUUGUUGAAUAGAACAUUAGAUCAAGGUGCAGCUAAUAUAGAAAGGUUAGAGUGAGUUGCAGUAUAAUUUUAUAGUGUAUGGAAAAUAAGUUGUAUAGCUUUUAUGAAAAUGGAUUUAAUAGUAAUAGUAUUUUAAUAAGUUAUUAUGAAUAUAGUUCUGGAGUAUGU
Molecule: ribosomal RNA, 315 nt
Filed under: Odontozona meloi
Lineage: Eukaryota; Metazoa; Arthropoda; Malacostraca; Decapoda; Stenopodidae
Description: partial 12S ribosomal RNA
Source: RNAcentral